This 523-nucleotide long non-coding RNA is filed under the name Mytilus galloprovincialis (Mediterranean mussel). The record is from RNAcentral. Lineage: Eukaryota; Metazoa; Mollusca; Bivalvia; Mytilida; Mytilidae.
GUUUGUUAACAAAAAUAUACAUGUUUUAACUUUUUUUAAAUAUCCGUAUAUAUAAAUUUACUAGAGAUCAACAAAAAAUCAACUUUAAAAACAAGCAAAAAAAAUUUAAAAUGAAAAAUCAAUUAAUAAAAGUAGAAAAUACGCUAUUACAUAGAAGUGAAAAAUAAAACAGACAGAAAUACAAAAUAAACACGACAGUAACAACAAACACAGAACACCAAAUACCGUAUACAUGUUUAAUCAGUUUAUAAGUGGAUUAUAAACGGGUCAAGGUUGAGUGAACAUGAAUUUCUAUCGAUUACACAGGUGACAAUCAACUGAUUGAGGCGCGUGUCGAUAAAACAUUAAAUAACUUUCUAAUUACAAAAGUUAUGAUUAUGAAAUUUGAAAUUAUGAAGUUUUUCAAAGUAUAUUUCUAUAUGCCAUGUCCUUUGUGGCCGUUGUAUCAUUCCAUCAGGUCCUUAGUGCACAUUUUUGUUCUUAGUGCACUAAGGAGGUCCUUUGCGGUAUUUCUACGGACCCU